CUUGCUUUUUUGUUUAUGAAAACUCUGGGAAGACUAUGAAGAUCGUGAGGAAAGAAUAUCUCCGCAUAGAAAUCCAAAAAGCCCCAUAAGCGAAGCAUUUCCAAAUUUCUGAGUAUACGAGCACAAGCAUUGCAGGUGAUCCUGAACCAUGUGGCAAAACCUGUUUGCGAUGUCUACAUUAAACUCCUCAAAACAACGCCCGUAUUGUAGGAUUCUCACAGAACAACUUGAAAUAACCAAGAAGUAUGGCAGACUUCCAUAACGAGUGGAGAUAUAGAGCUCAUGGUUCAGAUUGAUGCCUUGCAUUGGUCCUUCGGAAACCCUGAAAUAAAAUUAGAAAAGGAAUCUUGUGACUUAUUGCUCUUUUCUUAAUUUAUUCAUAUUUGUCCAGCCAAUCAAAGUGGUAACAAGUUAGAAACCUUGAUUCUAAGUUCCAAAUGUAGAAUAUCAAAGUACCUUGAUUCUAAGCGAAGCAUUUUCAAAAUUUCAGACUAUAUGAGCACAAGCAUUGCAGGUAAUCCGGAACGAUGUGUCAAAACCUGUUAGCGACGUCUACAUUAAACUCCUGAAAACAAUGGUCGUAUUGUAGGGUCCUCACAGAACAACCUUGAUAUAACAAACAAGUAAGACAGAUUGUGCUGCCCUUCAAUAGAAUACCAAGUAUCCUUACAUAUAUGCACAUAUCUUAGAUUAGUUAAUGUAUAAAGUAUAUUCCUUUCGGACAAAGUACCUGUCGAUUGAUCUAUUAAUAAAGUUAGCAGCAUGUGCUGCCCUUCAAGAACAAAUUCCCUGGUUGAUCCUGCUGAAAUGGCCAGAAUAAGUUACUUUCAAAAUACGAGGACCUGUAAAUAAUCUUGAAUGUAACAUAGAUCUAUCAAUUAAAAGGCAAAAGAAUACCAAAGUUACAAGACUAAUCAAUUAACAAUAUACCACAGGCAAUAUGAUUCUCUUAAACGUAAAGUUGGGAUGAGAGAUUUGAAAGUGUCAAGGGCUUAAGGCUAAAUUAGUUGGAGGGAUAUGAAAUAAAAUUAGAAAAGGAAUCUUGUGACUUAUUGCUCUUUUCUUAAUUUAUUCAUAUUUGUCCAGCCAAUCAAAGUGGUAACAAGUUAGAAACCUUGAUUCUAAGUUCCAAAUGUAGAAUAUCAAAGCUCAUAAGAAUUAGAAACAAAGAGAAGAUUUCAGAGAGUUUUACCUUCACUGGUUUUCUCCAACUCCCAUUAUUUCCAUGUCAAAUGGGGAAAAAUCGUGUUUAAUCCUUUCUUCUCAUCGCUAUUGAAUGUCGAUGUCAACUCGAGCUCAACCCUUUUCCAUACCUCAUCUAGAAAAGAUGGUCCUGAUUCAAAGAUGAAGAAAUAAUGAUUUAUAAAGCGAUCUUAAUUACUUGUGCAAGUUUGACAAUCUGGACCUUUUCCUUUUGUUAUGAUUCACGCAUAUAAUCCAUCGACAAUGAUCAUGAAACAAGAAAAGAAAAGGAAACGUAAGUUACACUCCAGUAUUCAACAACUUACGAUGGAAUCUGUAAGAGUGCAGCAGCCAGCCAAAUUCACACGUUGUUUUUGUGCAGAAACAUAUCGGCACCUAUGUAAAGAUGACAGAUGCAAUGAAAGAUGAGUAAGCAUUCCACCGUAUUCAAACCACAACAGUAAGAGGAAAAAAAAAAACAUCAUCAAGGAGUUACCUCGUCCUGUGCAGGAGAAUCAUAUUGGUGUCAUAGCUAGCCAGAGCACCCAAUAACUUACUUGGAGUUACCUCGUCCUGUGCAGGAGUUACCUUGAUUGAUUCUCGUUUGAUUGCUUCAGUCCAAAUGCUAGAAAUAAAAUAAGGUGUUUAUGAGGAUUAAAGGGUGUGCAAAUAUCACUUCCCCAGAUUUAUGAUCCAACUAUUCGGAAGCUGGCCAGCUUCUCAAGAACGCUUUCUCCUCCGAAUCAGCAGUGCCAUACAGAGAGAAAUCCAAAGAAGGAAACGACUCCCAUAUAGGAGUUUUAUGCAGAAACUGGGGCAGCCUAAUACUGGCAACGUGGAUGCAAACCUACUUUCUCUUCUGAUGUCUAGAAACUUCAAUUAACCUCAGGACAUGAGCUCCAUGCUUUCUUCAAUGCUUUCACAAGGUCUAGAAGAUCUGCGUGUUUUCUUCGUUGCUUUCAGGAGUCUGGGGAACCUGCAAGUUCUCUUCAUUGUUUGCAAACCAAGUUCUGGAGGGCCUCUGGCUUCUCGCCCGUUCUUGCCUGCGAGCUAAGCAAAAAAAUUAAUGCAUCAACAACCAGUUUCCAGAAUGCAUGACCAUAAGGCUGUAUUCUAACAGCCUCACUUAUUUCCUGGCUAUAACAUAAGUCAAUAAUUUCCUUUCCGGAAUGAAAUAAACUUAAAAGUGCCACUUUUCCCAGUUUAUAUUUAAUGAACCUCCUCCUACUGUUUAGAAUUUGUACAUGAAGCGCUAUCAUGGUUCAGAGUUGUUACCAAGAAAAUUUCUAUCAUAUGACGCCUGCUCCAACCAUCCUCGACCAGAAGUGAGCUACACCGUAUCAUCAAUUUCUCCACAGCAUCUUCCUCUAGAACAGUUAAUGAAUCAAAUGGUUGCCUCCAUGAUGGACGACCCUGCAUCAUCCAGAUAAUAAUAAUACAUUAUUAUUCAACCACAAAUAAAGUAACAAUUUGUUAGUCACUCAAAAUAGAAAUAGCACGUUAGAUCUCCCCAAUUUACAGAAGGAGUGAACUUGAACUUGCCACUACAGCAUUUGAAAGUUAUAAGUAUCACAAGCAGACAAUAGCGCCUUACUAGCUCCGCUGUCGUACAUUUUGCCGGUUGACUAUUCCAACCAUCCAAUAUUCCGGCCUUCCAAUCUAUUGAUGAUCUAGUCUAUGUUGAGCAGCCUUAACAGAUGCAAGCUGAAAGCCACUGGAAAAACAGAAAGGAUCCUCACAUAUAUGCGUUUAACUUAGAUUAGUUUUAAGUAGAAACUACAUUCAUUUCGGACAAAGUACCUGUCUUCGUGCAGCCCUCGAGAACAAAUUCCCUGCUUGAUCAUGCUGAAAUGGCCAGGAACGUGUCCUUCAAACUUCUUAAAAUCUGUAGAUACAGUAAACAUGAGACCAUACAUUGCUAAGAUUAAAGGCUUGGACUGUUCGCAGACCUUAUCCAAAGUUAACUAAAUAUGUAUGUAUAUACAAUUACAUAAAUACACGCACAGACACAAAUUACACAAGGAUGCAUACAUAUAAUCGAUAAUCUAUACUUCUACUCACUCUGAAUGCAAUAUCCAUACUUACAACCUCUCAAUCGAAAUCUAACGGUUGACAUCUACAUCCUGGUAGAGAGAACGUUUCUUUUUUGGAAAAUUAUCAGUUAUUGGAUGAAGGCUGGCGAACAAAAACAUUUAUACUUCAAAAGAAUACCUAAGUUACAAGACUAAUCAAUUAACAAUAUACCACAGGCAAUAUGAUUCUCUUAAACGUAAAGUUGGGAUGAGAGAUUUGAAAGUGUCAAGGGCUUAAGGCUAAAUUAGUUGGAGGGAUAUGAAAGACUAGAUGCAAUGCAUUUAGAGGGAUUUGUAAAUGACUGCUUGAAGGGAGACAUUUAUAAAUACUUUGUUUAUGUGUGUAAUGAUCAUGUAGUGCAUUUUAAAUGUCUAUAUCCUUCAUCCAAACAUAGGGUGAGAGAACUAGGAGUUUUAGCAUACACAACUCACUGACAUAGGACAAUACAAAUUAAGGCAAAACAAACAGUGUCAAAAUCCAAAAUGCCUUACUUCUUUGAGUCAUUAUGUGUGCAUUAUGCCCUUAUCAGACUCCUUGCUUUUUUGUUUAUGAAAACUCUGGGAAGACUAUGAACAUCGUGAGGAAAGAAUAUCUCCGCAUAGAAAUCCAAAAAGCCCCAUAAGCGAAGCAUUUCCAAAUUUCUGAGUAUACGAGCACAAGCAUUGCAGGUGAUCCUGAACCAUGUGGCAAAACCUGUUUGCGACGUCUACAUUAAACUCCUAAAAACAAUGCCCGUAUUGUAGGAUUCUCACAGAACAACCUUGAAAUAACCAAGAAGUAUGGCAGACUUCCAUAACGAGCGGAGAUAUAGAGCUCAUGGUUCAGAUUGAUGCCUUGCAUUGGACCUUCGGAAACC
This 4111-nucleotide long non-coding RNA is filed under the name Malus domestica (apple). Its description in RNAcentral is "long non-coding RNA (MDOM_LNC002198)". The record is from RNAcentral. Lineage: Eukaryota; Viridiplantae; Streptophyta; Magnoliopsida; Rosales; Rosaceae.